CAAAGUAUAAUUUUACAAUUAUUAAUUUAAAAAUUUAUAAAUUAUAAAUGACUAAAAAGGAAUUUUUUUUCACUUUAGGAGGGCCGAGACCUUGCCAACUCCAGACAAAGCUACAACUUAAUAUAUCUGAGAAGAUUCAAAUCUAAAAUAUGCUCAAACUUAAAAUAAUCCGACCCUAAACUGAAUUUAAAACAAUCUAAAUCUAAAAAGAAAUGAAUAAAAAAAAAACCUAAA
RNAcentral lists this long non-coding RNA (234 nucleotides) under Gossypium barbadense (sea-island cotton). RNAcentral's name for it is "long non-coding RNA (GBAR_LNC001103)". Lineage: Eukaryota; Viridiplantae; Streptophyta; Magnoliopsida; Malvales; Malvaceae. The record is from RNAcentral.